Molecule: ribosomal RNA, 465 nt
Filed under: uncultured bacterium
Lineage: Bacteria
Description: bacterial SSU rRNA
Rfam family: Bacterial small subunit ribosomal RNA
Source: RNAcentral
ACCUACGGGGGGCAGCAGUGGGGAAUUUUGGACAAUGGGCGCAAGCCUGAUCCAGCCAUUCCGCGUGAGUGAAGAAGGCCUUCGGGUUGUAAAGCUCUUUCGCAAGGGAAGAAACGAUUUAGGUGAAUAAUCUAAGUUAAUGACGGUACCUUGAUAAGAAGCACCGGCUAACUACGUGCCAGCAGCCGCGGUAAUACGUAGGGUGCGAGCGUUAAUCGGAAUUACUGGGCGUAAAGCGUGCGCAGGCUGUUUUGUAAGUCAGAUGUGAAAUCCCCGAGCUCAACUUGGGAACUGCGUUUGAAACUACAAGACUAGAAUAUGUCAGAGGGGGGUAGAAUUCCACGUGUAGCAGUGAAAUGCGUAGAGAUGUGGAGGAAUAUCAAUGGCGAAGGCAGCCCCCUGGGAUAAUAUUGACGCUCAUGCACGAAAGCGUGGGGAGCAAACAGGAUUAGAUACCCCGGUAGG